RNAcentral lists this ribosomal RNA (427 nucleotides) under uncultured bacterium. RNAcentral describes it as "bacterial SSU rRNA". It matches the Rfam family "Bacterial small subunit ribosomal RNA", at positions 355 to 774 of the family's 1533-position model. The record is from RNAcentral.
UAGGGAAUCUUCCGCAAUGGACGAAAGUCUGACGGAGCAACGCCGCGUGAGUGAAGAAGGUUUUCGGAUCGUAAAACUCUGUUGUUAGAGAAGAACAAGUAGGAGAGUAACUGCUCCUGCCUUGACGGUAUCUAACCAGAAAGCCACGGCUAACUACGUGCCAGCAGCCGCGGUAAUACGUAGGUGGCAAGCGUUGUCCGGAUUUAUUGGGCGUAAAGCGAGCGCAGGCGGUUUCUUAAGUCUGAUGUGAAAGCCCCCGGCUUAACCGGGGAGGGUCAUUGGAAACUGGGAGACUUGAGUGCAGAAGAGGAGAGUGGAAUUCCAUGUGUAGCGGUGAAAUGCGUAGAUAUAUGGAGGAACACCAGUGGCGAAGGCGACUCUCUGGUCUGUAACUGACGCUGAGGCUCGAAAGCGUGGGGAGCAAACA